AUACUCGUAGUUUAUAAAAAGUAAAAUAUUGAGUUGUGGAAUCAGAGAAGAUAAUUGAUCCGGGUAUU
This 68-nucleotide transfer RNA is filed under the name Coloceras sp. SLC-2011. RNAcentral describes it as "tRNA-His". The record is from RNAcentral. Lineage: Eukaryota; Metazoa; Arthropoda; Insecta; Psocodea; Philopteridae.